AACGAACGCUGGCGGCAUGCCUAACACAUGCAAGUCGAACGAGACCUUCGGGUCUAGUGGCGCACGGGUGCGUAACGCGUGGGAACCUGCCCUUAGGUUCGGAAUAACUCCCCGAAAGGGGUGCUAAUACCGGAUAAUGUCUUCGGACCAAAGAUUUAUCGCCUUUGGUUGGGCCCGCGUUGGAUUAGCUCGUUGGUAGGGUAAAAGCCUACCAAGGCGACGAUCCAUAGCUGGUCUGAGAGGAUGGUCAGCCACACUGGGACUGAGACACGGCCCAGACUCCUACGGGAGGCAGCAGUGGGGAAUAUUGGACAAUGGGCUAAAGCCUGAUCCAGCAAUGCCGCGUGAGUGAUGAAGGCCUUAGGGUUGUAAAGCUCUUUUACCCGGGAUGAUAAUGACAGUACCGGGAGAAUAAGCUCCGGCUAACUCCGUG
This 433-nucleotide ribosomal RNA is filed under the name uncultured bacterium. Its description in RNAcentral is "partial 16S ribosomal RNA". It matches the Rfam family "Bacterial small subunit ribosomal RNA", at positions 29 to 507 of the family's 1533-position model. The record is from RNAcentral.